AGCAUUUGCUGCAGAAGAAAUUGAAAAACAAAAGACUUUUUAGUUUACACAAACAGGUAUAAAAGGCCAUGCAAUAGUCUAAGCAAGCAAAUGUUUAAGUAGGAGACAUCUUUUAUUAACCAUCAUUCCCUUAUGAUUAACUUCCACUGAGACCACAAACAGGCAUAAUUUGGUCAUGGUCUCAGAACAGUUUAAUCAAUAAUAAAAAAAAAGCAACCAUGAAAAAGAAUUCAUGCUAUAAUACAUCAAAUAUAUACUGAUUACAGUUUAUCUAAUUCAGAAUCACCACCAAAAUAAGAUGUGUAUUAAUUUUUUUUUCUCCUAUGGAUAUAGCACUAGGGUUUCUGAGAACAUAUUAUUUUUCCUAGUAAAAUUCGUGCUAGAUAUGGCUGAUUAAUAAUUAUCAGAAAAGUGUAAGAACCUCAUCA
RNAcentral lists this unclassified non-coding RNA (428 nucleotides) under Hevea brasiliensis (rubber tree). The record is from RNAcentral. Lineage: Eukaryota; Viridiplantae; Streptophyta; Magnoliopsida; Malpighiales; Euphorbiaceae.